GUCCACGCCGUAAACGAUGAGAACUAGGUGUCGUGGGUGUUGACCCCUGCGGUGCCGUAGCUAACGCAUUAAGUUCUCCGCCUGGGAAGUACGGUCGCAAGACUAAAACUCAAAGGAAUUGACGGGGCCCGCACAAGCGGUGGAGCAUGUGGUUUAAUUCGACGCAACGCGCAGAACCUUACCUGGUCUUGACAUCCUUCGAAGCUGCCCGAAAAGGUGGCGUGCCCGCAAGGGAACGGAGAGACAGGUGCUGCAUGGCUGUCGU
This 265-nucleotide ribosomal RNA is filed under the name uncultured bacterium. RNAcentral's name for it is "partial 16S ribosomal RNA". It matches the Rfam family "Bacterial small subunit ribosomal RNA", at positions 793 to 1055 of the family's 1533-position model. The record is from RNAcentral.